This 1038-nucleotide long non-coding RNA is filed under the name Homo sapiens (human). RNAcentral's name for it is "HSALNT0327225". Lineage: Eukaryota; Metazoa; Chordata; Mammalia; Primates; Hominidae. The record is from RNAcentral.
AGAGAUGAAUAAGGCUGAAGAAGCAAGUCCCUGGAGAGAAAGGAAGAGAUGAGAGAGACCCCCAAGUUGUGUGAUCACCUCCAGCACACUGGAGACUGAGCCGUUUCACAAGAUCAUUCAUUCUAGGAGAGACCUUGGGAGGAGAAGUCAUGAGGACAGUCAACCAGCUCUUUGAAGAAGUCCACAUGCUGAGAAACUGAGGCCUCCUGCCAACAGCCUUGUGAGUGAAUCAUCUUGGAGGUGGAUCCUCCAGCACCUGUAAAACCUUCAGAUGACCACAGAUCUGGCUGACAUUUUGACCUCAAUGUUAUGAAAAAUCUUGAGGCAGAAGCACCCAGCUAAGCCAAUCCUGUAUUCUUCACCUACAGAAACUAUGAGCUAGUCUUCAAUCUGGUCUGGAGUUCAAGCCCUGCCUCUGGAGUCAUGUCCCACCUCCUACUUCACCAGUACCUGCCCUCUCCUCCUGAUUAGUGUAAGGUUAGCUCAUUUUAGAGUCUAUACCACUGGGAGGGCAGAGGAAAUGUGCCAGAUUCACCAUUUAUUGUUUUGUAAUAUGAGGUAGCUAAAUGCUUUCACUCUACAAUGAAAACUCCUUAGAUUAGUCAAUUAGGAUUCAUCCAUGAACCAAGAAGGUGAGUCUAUUUUUUUUUUGCCUUCUUUUGCAGAAUAACUCUGACAUUAAUGGAGAAGAGGAACAGAAAGUGUGCUAGGACCUGUUAGCACACUUUCUGCUAGCAUAUCAUAUCUGUUUUUUAUAAAAAACACAUUGUCUUACACUUAACAUUUUCAUUUAUAUUAGUUCUAUAAUUCCUCCCCAAAAGAUUAUGAAGGAGGUAUAAUUAGCUCCAUUUUUUGGAUGAAGAAACUGAAUAGAACUUGAGCACAGCCUAAUUUAAUGCUUUUUCCUCUAAUCUACACUGUCCAAAAUGAUAGUCACUAGGCACAUGUGGCUAGUAAGCAUGUGAACUUAUAGCACACUUAAGCACUUGAACUUACAUGUAGCUCAUAAGCACUUGAAUUUACAUGUGGCUAGUAAGC